AUUGAACGCUGGCGGCAGGCCUAACACAUGCAAGUCGAACGGCAGCGGGGAGUAGCUUGCUACUCUGCCGGCGAGUGGCGGACGGGUGAGUAAUGCCUGGGGAGCUGCCCAAUCGAGGGGGAUACCAGUUGGAAACGACUGCUAAUACCGCAUACGCCCUGAGGGGGAAAGGUGGGGAUCUUCGGACCUACCGCGAUUGGAUGCACCCAGGUGGGAUUAGCUAGUUGGUGAGGUAACGGCUCACCAAGGCGACGAUCUCUAGCUGGUCUGAGAGGAUAACCAGUCACACUGGAACUGAGACACGGUCCAGACUCCUACGGGAGGCAGCAGUGGGGAAUAUUGCACAGUGGGGGAAACCCUGAUGCAGCCAUGCCGCGUGUGUGAAGAAGGCCUUAGGGUUGUAAAGCACUUUCAGCGAGGAGGAAAGGUGGCUAGCUAAUACCUAGUUGCUGUGACGUUACUCGCAGAAGAAGCACCGGCUAACUCCGUGCCAGCCGCCGCCGUAA
Molecule: ribosomal RNA, 506 nt
Filed under: uncultured bacterium
Lineage: Bacteria
Description: partial 16S ribosomal RNA
Rfam family: Bacterial small subunit ribosomal RNA
Source: RNAcentral